RNAcentral lists this ribosomal RNA (253 nucleotides) under uncultured bacterium. Its description in RNAcentral is "partial 16S ribosomal RNA". It matches the Rfam family "Bacterial small subunit ribosomal RNA", at positions 524 to 776 of the family's 1533-position model. The record is from RNAcentral.
UACAGAGGGUGCAAGCGUUAAUCGGAUUUACUGGGCGUAAAGCGUGCGUAGGCGGUUCAUUAAGUCGGUUGUGAAAUCCCUGUGCUUAACCUGGGAACUGCAGUCGAUACUGGUGGACUAGAGUACGGUAGAGGGUGGCGGAACUCCGGGUGUAGCGGUGAAAUGCGUAGAUAUCCGGAAGAACACCGAUGGCGAAGGCAACCACCUGGGCCUGUACUGACGCUGAGGUGCGAAAGCGUGGGGAGCAAACAGG